CCUACGGGUGGCAGCAGUCGAGAAUCAUUCACAAUGGGGGAAACCCUGAUGGUGCGACGCCGCGUGGGGGAAUGAAGGUCUUCGGAUUGUAACCCCCUGUCUUGUGGGAGCAAAUUAACAAGUUAGUACCACAAGAGGAAGAGACGGCUAACUCUGUGCCAGCCGCCGCGGUAAUACAGAGGUCUCAAGCGUUGUUCGGAAUCACUGGGCGUAAAGCGUGCGUAGGCUGUUUCGUAAGUCGUGUGUGAAAGGCGCGGGCUCAACCCGCGGACGGCACAUGAUACUGGGAGACUAGAGUAAGGGAGGGGGAACCGGAAUUCUCGGUGUAGCAGUGAAAUGCGUAGAUAUCGAGAGGAACACUCGUGGCGAAGGCGGGUUCCUGGACAUUAACUGACGCUGAGGCACGAAGGCCAGGGGAGCGAAAGGGAUUAGAUACCCUAGUAGUC
This 446-nucleotide ribosomal RNA is filed under the name uncultured bacterium. RNAcentral's name for it is "partial 16S ribosomal RNA". It matches the Rfam family "Bacterial small subunit ribosomal RNA", at positions 338 to 795 of the family's 1533-position model. The record is from RNAcentral.